GAUGAAGAACGCAGCGAAAUGCGAUACUGGGUGUGAAUUGCAGAAUCCCGUGAACCAUCGAGUCUUUGAACGCAAGUUGCGCCUCAAGCCAUUAGGUUGAGGGCACGUCUGCCUGGGCGUCACAUAUCGUUGCCUGAUGCCAGUUUCCUCGUGAUGGGUGACUGUGCAGGGCGAAUGAUGGCUUCCCGUGAGCAUUGUUGCCUCAUGGUUGGUUGAAAAUUGAGUCCUUGGUAGGGAGCGCCGUGAUAGAUGGUGGUUGAGUGACGAACGAGACCCAAUCAUGUGAGACCCCUACCGAAUUUGGCCUUCAUGACCCACAUGCGUCUUUGGAAGGCUCAUGACGAGACCUCAGGUCAGGCGGGGCUACCCGCUGAGUUUAAGCAUAUCAAUAAGCGGAGGA
This 400-nucleotide unclassified non-coding RNA is filed under the name soil metagenome. RNAcentral describes it as "partial contains 5.8S ribosomal RNA, internal transcribed spacer 2, and large subunit ribosomal RNA". The stretch from base 1 to 122 matches the Rfam family "5.8S ribosomal RNA", at positions 35 to 154 of the family's 154-position model. The record is from RNAcentral.